Long non-coding RNA from Hyaena hyaena (striped hyena), 1126 nucleotides. RefSeq lists it as uncharacterized. NCBI's taxonomy places the organism in Eukaryota, Metazoa, Chordata, Mammalia, Carnivora, Hyaenidae. The record is from RefSeq and is a predicted model, not a curated record. The transcript is spliced from 3 exons.
UUUGAAUCCUCCUACUUUUCUUGGUAAAUCCCAGCCUUGAGAGGUUGUGAAGGAAAAGAUGACAUCAAAGGAGUAAAAUUACAGGCCCUGCCCACAGCAGACUCAACAGAUAAAUGGAUUGUCUCUAUAGAUAACUUCCUACCAAUCUAAGGUAUUAUUUUUCCUAAAAGCAUGACAUUGCACUGAGAGAUUCACACUCAUGAUUGCAAUGAAUCUUCACAUAACCACUGCAAGGAUGAAAAUCCAAAAGACAUAGAUUUCUUACCAUCUUGAAAUGUGUGAGCAAGCAAAUUAAGCUGUAUUAUGAUCCCAGGAAAUACGAAAAUGCAAAUGGAUUUAAAUUUGUCUGCAAAAUAUAGAUCAGUCUUGCUCAUGUAGAUAGAUAAGUUAAUGGGAAGAGAGCCUUGCUCCCUGGCAACAUUCAAGAGUUUUGGCCUUGCAGUUGGAGUCAUCUGGAGACAUGUGGCAGAGUGUCCUGGCUGAACCUAAAUCGUGACUCAGAUCCUGAUCGUGUCUGAUGCAAUAAGACCUGUGGUUUCCCAAAUACCGGUCGAUUGCAUGGGCAGAUCCGCGAAGGGAGGAAGGGACCUGUGAGGAGGGAAACUUCUAUAUGGUCACUUAGAGAGAGGCAGAAACAGAAGGAAGACAGAACUCAAAAUUGGUUCCUACUCCAUCCCCAUGGGUUUGUAGUUCAAGAAAAGAAUAAGCUAUAUAUACAAGCUUAAAGAUUCACAAACCAUAGGCAAUUUAGGUAAUCUCAAGCUCUUUUAGCCUGGUUCCCUAUAAACUGUGAUGGUUAAUGGUGGCUUGGCCUCAUUUCUAAAUGGAGUACACCUUGACUUUGCUCUGGUACAAUGGAGGCAACAGUUUUGUGUCUCCUGGCAUCUUGGAGGUUCAUGGCUUUGAAGAUCCUAGAGAUGGACUUUGAGAAGCAGCCUUCUCACAAAGAGUGGUGAAGAGACACUUCCUUCAAGAGAUUUUCAGGUACACUAAGCAACAAAGAGGCCAGAGGGAAGGUUCAUGGGAGAAUAAUUUGUGAGUUUGUGUGAGGUCUUUCCAAAAUCAUCUUAAUGAUGGCCAGGGGAGGGGGUAAGUUGAAGUUUCACAACUGUGCAGGUGAGGGCUA